AUGAACUGUUGCAAGCCCUUCUAUAAACAUGUCAUAGGCCAAGUAUCGACCAUCUAUGAGCCUUCCUUUUAUCACCAAGAAGUGUCUAGCCCUAAAUGGAGACAAGUCAUGGCAGAAGAAAUAUCUGCUUUAGAAGCUAACAAUACAUGUGGGGCUCAAAGAACGGAGAUAGAAAGGCCAUUGGUUGAGCUGGGAGAAGAUGGCUCGAGCAAAAGGAGCAAGAGAUAG
Molecule: non-coding RNA, 228 nt
Organism: Vicia faba (fava bean)
Lineage: Eukaryota; Viridiplantae; Streptophyta; Magnoliopsida; Fabales; Fabaceae
Source: the annotation of a GenBank genome assembly